Molecule: ribosomal RNA, 435 nt
Filed under: uncultured bacterium
Lineage: Bacteria
Description: partial 16S ribosomal RNA
Rfam family: Bacterial small subunit ribosomal RNA
Source: RNAcentral
AGCGAACGCUGGCGGCAGGCUUAACACAUGCAAGUCGAGCGGGCGUAGCAAUACGUCAGCGGCAGACGGGUGAGUAACGCGGGGGAACGUACCUUUUGGUUCGGAACAACACAGGGAAACUUGUGCUAAUACCGGAUAAGCCCUUACGGGGAAAGAUUUAUCGCCGAAAGAUCGGCCCGCGUCUGAUUAGCUAGUUGGUGAGGUAACGGCUCACCAAGGCGACGAUCAGUAGCUGGUCUGAGAGGAUGAUCAGCCACAUUGGGACUGAGACACGGCCCAAACUCCUACGGGAGGCAGCAGUGGGGAAUAUUGGACAAUGGGGGCAACCCUGAUCCAGCCAUGCCGCGUGAGUGAUGAAGGCCCUAGGGUUGUAAAGCUCUUUUGUGCGGGAAGAUAAUGACGGUACCGCAAGAAUAAGCCCCGGCUAACUUCGUG